CUACUGACACCAAAGAAAGCCUCGGCGGUCACGUCCCAGGUCUGCCCUCUGUGACCUUACUGAGUGCACUUGGCCAGUCAUCAAAAAUUCCUGGGGAGCAUUUAAAAAUAGGUAUUCCCAGGCCCAACGCCCACCUGCUAAAUCAGAAAUCCAAAACAAAGGUGGACCUCCACAAUCUGCUACAGCUAGAUGCACUCUGGUACAAGAAUGACAGGUCACUGGAAGGAGUGACUUCAGUACCCGUAAGGAAGGGAAGUAGCCCAGGAGACAGCAUUUGCCCUGCACACUGCCUGAAACUACAAAUUUUACACCACAUGAACACGGUACCAAUGCAAACUUCUAAAAAUGGUUCCUGGAGGAGGAGAACAUGGCGGACAGACAACAGCAACUACCGGAGGCUCUCUGAAAGGCUCGGCUCAGAGGCCAGGAAUGAUGCGGACUAAGGAGACACGAACCGGUAGAGAUAUGCUCUGCUGACUCAGGAACGAACUGGGCUGAGAGAAACCAACUUAAAAUAUAGUCCUGGCGCUAAAAUAGGAACAGAAAAGGCUCGGUGUGGAGGCUCGACUACGUGCCAUUGGAAACCGCGAUUUGGGUAUCCUGCCGCAGUUUGGAUUUCCCGCCGCCCGGCGGCUGGCUGCCUCCACAAGCGGCUCGGCAAGGAGAGACGCGCAGAAGCUCUGGGAACGGGAGUCUGCGAACGGAGUCGAAAACAGGACGGACAAGAAGGCGUACACGAAAACUGACUGGUGGCAAGGUGAGCGAGAAAACUGAGCCCCUACCACAGUUUGACUCCAGCGGAGGUUUUUCUGGGCUCGGGCAGUCCUGCGGCAGCAGGGCGCCGUGGCAACUCCAGCCACACAUUCCCCUCUCGGACGGGAUUGGUGAAAAGUGCCUGGCCUGCGUGACGCUGCGGGCGGACUCCCUAGGCUGGCCUAACCCAGAUCCCAGAGCCUGACGGUGGCCCGGAGGAGCGACCGACUCCCGCGUAGGCUGCCUCCUCCGCAACUCCCUGGGGCGCAGCGGUGGGCGGGAACAACUAGCCAGCGCAAUUUGAUCAGGCUGUGGCUGACAGGCAGGGAAGCCUGGCUUCCUUUGUAAGCUUGCAUUUUAUAAGGAAGAGAAAAUAUGGGGAAGGGAAGCAACAAAAAAGGCUCCUCGGCCCCCAAUCCUGAGAAACAGGCAAUAGUGGACACUGCACCAAUAUACAUUAAGCGCCAUCUAGAGAGCCUCAUAGACUGUUGGGAGCCGUGGCACUGUCAAGUCAUCAGACGCGGUGAUUGCGAGGCCUGUGGGAAAGUACAAAAGCCUGGGCUAGAUUACCCCUCUCAUCGAGCCCGCCUGUGUGGCACCUGUUUCUUAUCACCCCACUAAGUUCCCGCCUCACAGGGUAGUCUGCCUAGCUAUUAAUCCUAUAUAUAGCCAGUGCCUCCACCCCCGAGAGAGAGAGAGACUGAAGCACGGAAGGAGCCGCAGAGAGCGGACCGGUAGAGGCUUCGGGGCAGACUGAAGCACGGAAGGAGCCGCGGAGAGCGGACCGGUAGAGGCUUCAGGGCAGACUGUAUAAGGAGAGAAUAAAGAAAAGCCUGACCACCGCCAGACCUUGUCGUGUGUCUUUCCUGCCGGCCGGGAGCGGACAUCGACAUUUGGUGGCCCGUACGGGGAUUGAUCAACCCCGAGACGCGGCGGUGGACUGCAUUCUCCUACACAGUGCUGCAGCUGCAGGACAGGAAUCGGGACGAGAGCCAAUGUGGGUCCCAGAGAGGUUGACGCGACAAGUCCCUCGACUGAAGAUCAGGCCUGUUCCACCAGAGGCCAACCGCAGACCCAACAACAA
Cavia porcellus (domestic guinea pig) is the source of this 1837-nucleotide long non-coding RNA. RefSeq lists it as uncharacterized. The transcript is spliced from 2 exons. NCBI's taxonomy places the organism in Eukaryota, Metazoa, Chordata, Mammalia, Rodentia, Caviidae. The record is from RefSeq and is a predicted model, not a curated record.